AGUGUUGCAACCCGUCAGGAUGCUCUCGAUGGUGCAGCUGUAGAACCUUUUGAGGAUCUGAGUACCCAUACCAAAUCUUAGAAAUACAGCUAAACCUAGGGUAUGGCUAAAUGGGGUGUGUAGAAAUACAUGUGGGGGUCAGGGAGAGAGUAGAGUUAUGUACUAGACUGGUGGGGGUCAGGGAGAGAUUAAGUUAUAUACUAGACUGGUGGGGGUCAGGGAGAGAGUUGAGUUAUGUACUAGACUGGUGGGGGUCAGGGAGAGAGUUAUGUUCUAGACUGGUGGGGGUCAGGGAGAGAGUUGAAUUAUGUACUAGACUGGUGGGGGUCAGGGAGAGAGUUGAGUUAUAUACUAGACUGGUGGGGGUCAGGGAGAGAGUUGAGUUGAGUUAUGUACUAGACUGGUGUGGGUCAGGGAGAGAGUUGAGUUAUGUACUAGACUGGUGGGGGUCAGGGAGAGAGUUAAGUUAUAUACUAGACUGGUGGGGGUCAGGGAGAGAGUUGAGUUAUGUACUAGACUGGUGGGGGUCAGGGAGAGAGUUAUGUUCUAGACUGGUGGGGGUCAGGGAGAGAGGCGAGUUAUGUACUAGACUGGUUGGGGUCAGGGAGAGAGUUAUGUACUAGACUGGUGGGGGUCAGGGAGAGAGUUGAGUUAUGUACUAGACUGGUUGGGGUCAGGGAGAGAGUUGAGUUAUGUACUAGACUGGUGGGGGUCAGGGAGAGAGUUGAGUUAUGUACUAGACUGGUUGGGGUCAGGGAGAGAGUUGAGUUAUGUACUAGACUGGUGGGGGUCAGGGAGAGAGUUGAGUUAUGUACUAGACUGGUUGGGGUCAGGGCGAGAGUUGAGUUAUGUACUAGACCGGUGGUGGUCGGGGAGAGAGUUGAGUUAUGUUCUAGACUGGUGGGGGUCAGGGAGAGAGUUGAGUUAUGUACUAGACUGGUGGGGGUCAGGGAGAGAGUUAUGUACUAGACUGGUGGGGGUCAGGGAGAGAGUUGAGUUAUGUUCUAGACUGGUGGGGGUCAGCGAGAGAGGUGAGUUAUGUACUAGACUGGUGGGGGUCAGGGAGAGAGUUAUUUUCUAGACUGGUGGGGGUCAGGGAGAGAGUUGAGUUAUGUACUAGACUGGUGUGGGUCAGGGAGAGAGUUGAGUUAUGUACUAGACUGGUGGGGGUCAGGGAGAGAGUUGAGUUAUAUACUAGACUGGUGGGGGUCAGGGAGAGAAUUGAGUUAUGUUCUAGACUGGUGGGGGUCAGGGAGAGAGGUGAGUUAUGGACUAGACUGGUUGGGGUCAGGGAGAGAGUUGAGUUAUGUACUAGACUGGUGGGGGUCAUGGAGAGAGUUGAGUUAUGUACUAGACUGGUGGGGGUCAGGGAGAGAGUUGAGUUAUGUACUAGACUGGUGGGGGUCAGGGAGAGAGUUGAGUUAUGUUCUAGACUGGUGGGGGUCAGGGAGAGAGUUAUGUACUAGACUGGUGGGGGUCAGGGAGAGAGUUGAAUUAUGUUCUAGACUGGUGGGGGUCAGGGAGAGAGUUGAGUUAUGUUCUAGACUGGUGGGGGUCAGGGAGAGAGUUUAGUUAUGUACUAGAGUUGUGGGUGUCAGGGAGAGAGUUGAGUUAUGUUCUAGACUGGUGGGGGACAGGGAGAGAGUUUAGUUAUGUACUAGACUGGUGUGGGUCAGGGAGAGAGUUGAGUUAUGUACUAGAC
Molecule: long non-coding RNA, 1702 nt
Filed under: Salmo salar (Atlantic salmon)
Lineage: Eukaryota; Metazoa; Chordata; Actinopteri; Salmoniformes; Salmonidae
Description: lncRNA (ENSSSAG00000113116.1)
Source: RNAcentral